GACGAACGCUGGCGGCGUGCUUAACACAUGCAAGUCGAACGGAAAGGCCUGCUUUCCCUUGUGGAUUGCGGGUACUCGAGUGGCGAACGGGUGAGUAACACGUGAGUGAUCUGCCCCCAACUUGGGUAUAAGCCUGGGAAACUGGGUCUAAUUCCCGAUAGGACUGCAGGGUGGUGCCUGUGGUGGAAAACGAUUUUCUAGUGGUUGGGGAUGAGCUCGCGGCCUAUCAGCUUGUUGGUGGGGUAAUGGCCUACCAAGGCGGCGACGGGUAGCCGGCCUGAGAGGGUGGACGGCCACAUUGGGACUGAGAUACGGCCCAGACUCCUACGGGAGGCAGCAGUGGGGAAUAUGGCACAAUGGGCGGAAGCCUGAUGCAGCGACGCCGCGUGGGGGAUGACGGCCUUCGGGUGGUAAACUCCUUUCGACCGCGAGGAAGCCACCUGGUUGGAAGGGUGGUGACGGUAGUGGUAGAAGAAGCACCGGCUAACUACGUG
This 494-nucleotide ribosomal RNA is filed under the name uncultured bacterium. RNAcentral's name for it is "partial 16S ribosomal RNA". It matches the Rfam family "Bacterial small subunit ribosomal RNA", at positions 28 to 507 of the family's 1533-position model. The record is from RNAcentral.